AGCAAUGCCGCGUGUGUGAAGAAGGCCUUCGGGUUGUAAAGCACUUUUGUCCGGAAAGAAAACCUCUUGGUUAAUACCUGAGGGGGAUGACGGUACCGGAAGAAUAAGCACCGGCUAACUACGUGCCAGCAGCCGCGGUAAUACGUAGGGUGCGAGCGUUAAUCGGAAUUACUGGGCGUAAAGCGUGCGCAGGCGGUCUGUUAAGACCGAUGUGAAAUCCCCGGGCUUAACCUGGGAACUGCAUUGGUGACUGGCAGGCUUUGAGUGUGGCAGAGGGAGGUAGAAUUCCACGUGUAGCAGUGAAAUGCGUAGAGAUGUGGAGGAAUACCGAUGGCGAAGGCAGCCUCCUGGGCCAACACUGACGCUCAUGCACGAAAGCGUGGGGAGCAAACA
Molecule: ribosomal RNA, 393 nt
Filed under: Burkholderia sp. 3CBZ2
Lineage: Bacteria; Pseudomonadati; Pseudomonadota; Betaproteobacteria; Burkholderiales; Burkholderiaceae
Description: bacterial SSU rRNA
Rfam family: Bacterial small subunit ribosomal RNA
Source: RNAcentral